RNAcentral lists this ribosomal RNA (689 nucleotides) under Laboulbenia flagellata. RNAcentral's name for it is "partial large subunit ribosomal RNA". It matches the Rfam family "Eukaryotic large subunit ribosomal RNA", at positions 63 to 749 of the family's 3401-position model. The record is from RNAcentral. Lineage: Eukaryota; Fungi; Ascomycota; Laboulbeniomycetes; Laboulbeniales; Laboulbeniaceae.
AACCACAGGGAUUGCCUCAGUAACGGCGAGUGAAGCGGCAACGGCUCAAAUUUGAAAUCUGGCGCAAGCCCGAGUUGUAAUUUGCAGAGGAUGCUUCGGCACGCGGUCACGGCUCAAGUGCCCUGGAAAGGGACGCCGCGGAGGGUGAUAGCCCCGUCAUGGGCCGUCGACCUGCUGCCGUGUGAAGCUCCCUCGACGAGUCGAGUUGUUUGGGAAUGCAGCUCCAAAGCGGGAGGUAAAUUCCUUCCAAAGCUAAAUACCGGCCAAGGACCGAUAGCGCACAAGUAGAGUGAUCGAAAGAUGAAAAGCACUUUGGAAAGAGAGUCAAACAGUACGUGAAAUUGUUGAGAGGGAAGCGUUUGCGAUCAGACGCGUGGGGGGCCGGCUCACCCCGGCCCGCGUGGUCGGGGGCACUCCCUCCCCCCGCGAGCCAGCAUCGGCUCGGGCGGUGGCAGGAACCGGGCGGGAACGUGACUCCCUCGCGGAGUGUUACAGCCCACCCGGCAUCUUCCGACCGCCCGCCUGGGCCGAGGCAGGCGCGUCCCGUCCUGCGGGGCGCUCGGAUGCUGGCGUAAUGGUCGUAAGCGGCCCGUCUUGAAACACGGACCAAGGAGUCCAACGUCCGCGCGAGUGUGUGGGUGUCAAGCCCGCGCGCGAAAUGAAGGUGAACGAAGUGGGAAGCCGUGCCC